GGGGGGGGAGAUUGCAUACCAUGCUGUAUGUCUUCCAUUAUCAAAUAUUCAGCCAAGAUUUAAUUCUUUAUGUAAAAAUCAAUAAGAACCUCCAUCUCAUUAGUAUGCAAAAACCCUUGCGGUGGCAACACUGUUGAUAGACAGGUUGGCGGUUCGAAUCUGGGGAGAGCAGGUGAGCUCCCUCUAUCAGCUCCAGCUCCCCAUGUGAGGACAUGAAAUAAGCCUCCCACAGGAUGGUAAAGCAUCAAACAUCCAGGCGUCCCCCUGGACAAUGUCCUUGCAGACGGCCAAUUCUCACACCAGAAGUGACUUGCAGUUUCUCAAGUUGUUCUUGACAUGAAAAAAGUAUGUAAAAUUGCUUUCAUGUAUAUCAUAAAUUCUUUAUAAUUUAUUAUAAGUAAAUGUUUGAUUUGUAUAUCUAUUUUAUAUGUUUAUACGUUCAGGAUUGUGUAAAAAUUUCUUGUGUGUGGAAAAAAGCUUAAGAAACCCUGUGUUAGAUAAGCUUAAUGGGACUUAACAAAACACCUGAAGGAUCAAAAUUUGGAAACCAAUCCAACCAGUGAGGUACCACAAAAGUUCCCCAUAGAGAGAUUUUCCCUUGUGAACCUCUAUGCAUCAACUGGGGACAUCAAAUGCCCCUCAAACUAUGGACAAAAUAUGCUGAUGAUUCCACGUUUAGUCUCUAUUCAAAGAGAUAGUCGGGAAAAUUAGUGUAUUCUCCACAGCCUGAAGCAGCAUCAACCACUAAUUUAAGUGCCACUGUUUUUAAGGUUCUAAUUGAAGCUUGGGUUUGUUUCUAAUUGCACCAUGCUAACUGUUUAUUGCUAAGUGUGCUGUGUACCAGCUUAGGUCCUUAAAAAGGAGAAAAGUCAUUUAAAAUAUGAGAACAAAAACAUUUGUAAAAUACAGUAGAGUCUCACUUAUCCAACAUAAAUGGGCCGGCAGAACGUUGGAUAAGUGAAUAUGUUGGAUAAUAAGGAGAGAUUAAGAAAAAGCCUAUUAAACAUCAAAAUAGGUUAUGAUUUUACAAAUUAAGCACCAAAACAUCAUGUUAUACAACAAAUUUGACAAAAAAGUAGUUGAAUACUCAGUAAUGCUAUGUAGUAAUUACUGUAUUUACAAAUUUAGCACCAAAAUAUCACAAUAUAUUGAAAACAUUGACUACAAGAAUGCGUUGGAUAAUCCAGAACGUUGGAUAAGCGAGUGUUGUAUAAGUGAGACUCUACUGUACAUAAGCAUUAUUGUGUCUUCGUUGAAAUGAAUGAAGAAGCAAUGUAUACAAGAGCAAUGUGCGGAGAGCUCAGUCAGUAAAAAAACAAAGUUAAGCAUACGUAAAAAGUUUAUCGUUGUCAAUGCUGUUUAUGGAAAAUUGUGAUAAAUAUAGCAAAAUAAGGUAGAAGGAACAGCAACACAAAGUACAACAUGUUUUGCCAUAUCUGGGUGAUCACUUACAGCUGCGGGUCAGGCAACAUACCUAAAUUCUUCUGUUUUGCCAUUGAUAUCUUGGUGUUCAGUUCAGACAGGCUAUCUGAAAAUCUCAAUUUUAUUCUGAAACUGCUAAAGGCAGCAUUCUCAAAAGUAAGCGGGUGGAAUAUUUCAUGAGGCAAGCACCGCUAGAGUCACAGAUGACAAUAAAAUGAGCUUUAACUCCAGUGAAAAGCAGAAUUCAACAGGAUCAACAAAACAGUCUGGAGAAUGUUUUUCCAACACUUGAGACAGUUCUUUUUAUCCUCCUUAUAUGGAGGCCCAACCCCCAUCUAUACAGCCAUAUAAAAUACAAAUUAUCUGCUUUGAACUGGAUAUGUGACUCAUAUAAUCCUGCUCAAAGGAGAUAAAUAGUAAUUCAAACUUCCAAACUUUUCUCAAGUUUUUUCUGCUUUCAUCUUUAAUAACAAUUCUACUUUUUUUGUUCAUGCCUGUCUUUAUGGUUCUGGUACUUCUAGUGAUAGAGCUAUGGCAAUAACUAUGGCUGGCAUACUGAAAGUGAGGAGUAUCAACCUAAGUCCAAUUUGCAUUAAGUAUUGUGUCAAAGUCUGCAGCCUUUCUUCCAAAGCUUGAUCAGAGGCAACCCGAGAUUCAAGCCAUAGUCUGUCCAAGAAAAAGGGGCAAGCAAAGCAAAUUCCAGUGUUGGUUCCAGAAGGUCAAAUACACAGAGUCUCACCAAAAAGUUCAAGUCUGAAAUCCAAAGAGCAUAGUUCAAGGUUCAAGGCAUGAGGUCACCAAAAAUUACUGGCUGUAACACCAACACAACGAUUGCUUCCAUCAACGAGCUGUUACAAACACCAGCCCUUUAUGCUGCUCCUGAAAAGUCCUUACAGCUGCGAGAUUCUCUUUUGAGCCUUACAAUUGGACCUUUGCAGCUGGAUGGCAUCAACCCUCCAGGCAGGGAGAGUUAUCUCCUGCUCUUUCUCCUGAAGAGCCUCAGCCUGCCCAGGCUCAGGUGCUUCCAUUCCUGGAGGGUCCUGCUCCUGCUCAGAAGUAGAAAUCCCUACAAUGUCAGGCUGCUCAUCCACCUGGGGCUCAGAUUCCUCUGCUGGGAGGAAACCCUCCUCCCCAUCAUCCUCUUCUUGCCCCGAGGUCCUGACAUAUUGUAACUCAUGGUUUUGGUCAUUGCACAGGUCAAAAAUCUUGAUGCAUUGCACCAUUAAACUCACCCCCAUUCCACCUUUUAACCAACAAAGCCACUCUGAAAUCAAUGAAGAACAGAGUGAUCAAUGGAUAUUUUCCUACAGAUGCAAUAACAUCUGCAGGAUCUUCCUGCAGGGCACCCAGAUACAUGACAAUAGAUGGCUGUGUCUUUCUUGGCCCUCCAUCGCUUAAAAAUGGAUAGGGGCUUGCCCUCAAGAGACAUAGCUAUGUGCUGGAUAUACGUCUCCCAAUGCAGGAUCUUAGCCUAAAUUUCCCACUCAAAUCCAACCUUACAUCAAAUAGCAAAUCCAAACCAUUGGAUAGCAUGGCCAAACCAUGGUUUGAAAGAGUGUGAAAACUAUUGUUUGAGCUAACCACGGUUUGAGCUAGCCACGGUUUUCACAUACUUUUAAACCAUGAUUUCCAAUACUUAUUUGCUAUCCAGUUUCAAAUUCAACUUUGUCAACUUUGCCUGUCCUCCCACACCAUAGCCAAGACUGAUUUACAGUGUUCCCUCACUUAUCGCUGGGGUUAGGUUCCAGGACCACCUGGAAUAAGUGAAAAUCCGCGAAGUAGGGACACUAUAUUUAUUUUAAUAGUUGUACAUUAUUUUAGUAGUUAUACACUAUUUUAAGUCUUUAUCAACCAAUCAUGUGUUGAUAAAUCGCCUCCUUCUCCUCCCAUUGCGGCUUGGGCUCCUUUUCUCUCCCUUCGGCUUCUCCUUCCUCCCUUCCUUAGGCUGUAAAUUGUAAUUUUUUAUGAUCUAUAAUAGUCUUUUAGAGUUUAUUGAAAAACCGUGAAACAGCGAAUCCACAAAAAGUGAACCACAAAGUAGUGAGGGAACACUGUACGAGGUUUUUGGCAUGACACUGAAAUUAAAUCUCCACAAGAAAGCUGUAGUGUUGUGAUACCACUGAUCUCAUCCAUCUUUUGUAGAGACCGACUCAUUUUACAGCUUACUUCUGCAAAAUGCCCUCUUGCAAUCUCAAAAAUAAACAGGUAGCACAUUUAAGGACACUAACCCUAUGGGGGAAAAAAACAAUUAACUCUUAAUGGUUGCUCUCGAGCACUGGAACAUUUUGUUUCCUUAUAUCUUCCAAAGGUUCAGCAUAAACAUCUAUCAAAGCCAAAAGCAGCUUCAACUGUUGAUGUUGGUGCUUCUAGUUUUCUGGCUUCACAUUUAUUUUACCAGGAACAGAACUUUUUAUUUCACACUCAAGGACUCCAUAUACGCCAGCCAAGUGCGAAAUACACAAAUGUUGCUGACAUCAAAAAUAACGAAAACUGGACACAAGAUUCCUUCUGGUUCUCCCAUGUAUUAUCACAGAGGGUGAAUCUACACUGUGGAAUCAAUGACACUACUUUAGCUGCCAUGGCUCAAUGCUAUGGCAUCGUGGGAACUGUAACAUAGUGAGACACCAAUAAUAUUUACAAAGAUGGCUAAAGAGCUUGUGAAACCAGAACAUUUAUGAUCCCACAGCAAUGAGGCAUGGCAGUUAUAGCAGUGUCAAACUGCAUUAUUUCUACAGUGUAGGUGCACUCCAAUAUGCACAUAUUCUACUUUCAUAAUGACACAAGAAUCAGAAGAGCAUGGUUGUUGUUCUCCCACAAAUCAUCCCCACACCGAAAGCCAUUCCAGUAUUUUCCAAGAAGCAACUUUUCUCAGAGACAUGACAAUUACUGCAGAAGAAUAUUGUAGACUUUGAAUGCAAUUAUUCAAAACAAAAUAAACCGUGAGCUAUUUGAGUCUAACUGAAAAGUUGUCUUUCCAUCCAAUGGCUCUCUGCCGCCUCUUCCUGUUUUUCUGAUCAGAUCUCCUGCCUGCCUGGCUUUCUCGCUCAUUCGUCCCCCACAAUUGGUUAAAAUACAAUCCACACCGUCGGCCAAAUCCAUGGGAAAGUAAUUCAGCUGGGCAACUAUGCCUGCCAGGUUGUGAAAUCUGAAACAUGACGCCAUGGAGGCUGGCCAGCUCUUUGGUCAAGCUGUUGACAAAAGCCGGGAGGGUAAGCUUUAUGAGUAGUCUGUGCACACCUGUGGGAUUUACUCUGCAAACAGGGAGACAUCUCCCCAACCUUGUCACCCUUCCCACCUUUUGUUUAUGGGCAAACAUAAUGCUAGGAAAAAAAGACACUGGAAACCAAUGCUAGCCAGACAAUAAAAAGCAGAACCACCCAACCUUCUAACAUUCACAAAGUCAACUGGUUCUAUCUUUUAGAGACAUUCAUCUCUCCAGAGAAUCAAGACAGUGACCUUUUAAAGAAAAUCAAAUAAGAGAUGGCUUGUAGGCAAGUGAACCAUGAACUAAAGUUCCUUGCUUGCAUAAUCUGAAUUGAAUACUUUCUACUGAUCAGAGUCAACACCAAAAAUACGAAAUUUUUAUCUCAAAGGAAGGGACUGGCAAAACCACCUCUGAGACUGGUGUCCCUUCUACACUGCCAUAUAACCCAGAUUAUCAAAUCAUAUAGUCCACAUUAUCUGCUUUGAACUGGAUUAUGUGGGUCUACACUGCCAUAAAAUCCAGUUCAAAGCAGACAAUCUGGAUUUUCAUACGGCAGUGUAGAUCCAGUCUGAGUAUUCCUUGUUUAAGCAAACUCUAUAAAAUUAAUGGAAAAUUCAUGGAGUGACUGUGAGUCAAAGACCACUUGACAUCACAGAUGAAUACAUUUUUACAAGAUUCAGGUAUACUAUCAAUUUUAAGUAAACAUGACCUUAAAUACAUAACAAAAGGACAACUUGUAUCUGACCCCUAGCCUCUAUAUACAGAGAGAACAUAAUGUAACCUGGGCUACUUAUAUAUUCAGACAUUUCAAAAUAUAUUUUUAAUUAUUUGCUUCUAAUGAUUGGGCGCGCUUAGCUAGCUGCUGAAUAUUCGUUUCUAAGCAGCUAACGCAAUCCACUACAUGUAGUAGGAUUUACAGGGUUUAGCAUUGGCCAUGUUGGCUGGGGAAGAUCCUGUUAUCCCAAAAAAGUAACUUAUCUAAACUUUGGGGGAUAUAGGCUGAAGUUGGUUAAUGCAAACUUGUGACUGUCAGCGUAAACCGAAAACAAGAACCUUUGAUUACUUGUUCCGUUUUUACAAAAAGGGGAAGGACUUAUUGGCCCAAGUCCGAUUCUGUUGGAAACUCAUGGUGCUUUCCAACUCUUUUCUGUUUAUUUCUCAUCAUAAAAAAAUAAAAUAAAAUCUUGGCACAGCUUUGCUCUUGUUCAGCCAGAAUUACCAGAUUGAUUCUUUUAGACUUUGACCAAGACUACAGGCUGUAAAAACCCAAAUGACACUAGGUAAAAGUAAAUGUAAAGUUUUUCCCCUUGACAUUAAGUCUAGUCAAGUUCAACUCUUGGGGGUGGGGGGUGAACUGGUGUUGUCCAUAGACACCUCCUAGGUCAUGUGGCCGGUGUGAAUGCAUGGAGCACCGUUACCUUCCCACCAAAGCGGUACCUAUUGAUCUACUCACAUUUGCUUGUUUUUGAACUGCUAGGUUGGCAGAAGCUGGAGCUAACAACAGAAGCUCACCCCCACUCUGCAGAUUCGGACUACCAACCUUUUGGUCAGCAAGUUCUGCACCUCAAUGGUUUAGCCCACUGAGCUACCGUGGCCCCAAUGACACUAGGACAGGCACCCUACUGAAGCACAAACCAAUGGCUUUAAACUGCAAGAAAAGAGAUUCUGCUUAAACAAUAAAAAGUACAGCACACUCAUUUCAUUUAAAGAUCCCUGCACAUUUAAAUUAAAAAAGUAUUUCCUUGAUGGUGGAGCAAGAUCACAUACACACUCACAUUUAAGUUAUACUCCAAUCAAUUAAUUAACCAUGAAACAACUAGUCAACUGAAAGUUUUUCAUUAAGAUGACAGCCCUGUAAUUUAAAUGUUAAUAUUAAAGUCUAAUGGAGCCAUUUAUUUUUUAAUCUAUGUAACAGUCAUGAGGAAGGGGAAUGCUGUAUCUCACCCAGAAACAAUUCAUAUCAAUAAAACAGACAACCUUGGUUGGCUUCCUUGAUCUCACACUUACCCAGCUUUCUUUAUGCUGCAAUGCUACACACACUUACGCAGGAGUAAGGUCCAAUGAACUCAUUAAUGCUUACUUUACAGAAGAUGUAGGCUGACCUAUAUACAAGGUGUUACCACUGGUAUAUCAGCAAUUGCUUAUCUCAGUGAUUUUCCAUUCCACUACCAUAUAUACUAACUUAAUUCUCCAUGUCUCUCAUGGUGCCAUUACAUACUGUUUUGUUUAUAGGUUGCACAUUAUGUUUUAUGUAUUCUAUUGCUGACCACCAACAAAAGAACACUGGUUAUUGGUUGAUUUAAAAGGUAAAAUAAAUAAAGUGGCCUUUAUCAACGUACACAAAUUUUGUUUUAUGCACAAAUUAAUUAAAACUAAUAUAAAGUAUUGUAUGAAAUUACUUACAGGCCAUGGGUUUAAGAGGUAUACGGAAAAUAACAAACUUCAGGUCUAGACUAGCUAGGAUCCCAUUUCUCAUUAUGUAUAUGCAUGCAUGUUUGUUUGUGUGUCUUUAUGUAUAUAUGUAAUAUAUCUGUAUACAAAUACAGGUAUUCCAAGAUCUGAAAAAUAUCCAAAACCCGAAACACUUCUGAUUCCAAACAUUUCAGAGAAAGAAUAUUUUACCUGUAAUGCUAGUCAAAACACUUUAAAACCUGAAGAUCAACCAGGUCUAUUUAAUGACUUACCUUUUUGGCUAGUUAUAAGAAGUUUGUAUUGAUGUGUUUGUUUACUGUUUUGGUUUGGUUUGAUUCUAUUGUUUAUUAUGGUACUGAAUGUUUGCCAUCUUUUAUUGGAAACCGCUCUGAGCCUUCCCAGGUUAUAAAGUUAUAUUGUUGUUAUUAUUAAAACCCUAAAAAAAAAAAUCAGUGCCACAAUCAGUUUAUCAGGGCAUACUGAAAUGUUUUUAUUUUCCCAGAAUUAACUAACAAUAAAACUACUGUAUAAUAUUUACAGUUUCCUGCUCUAGACAUAUAAUCAAGAAGGCACAACUCUUAACGUACUCUGAAUCAAGUCUUGCCAAAGCAUUACCAUUGAGAUAUAUUGAAUUACAACUUCCAUCAUCCACAGCCAGGAACCCCUUUUUUGUGGAACCUGGUUUAGUAGCACCAUUUGCAGUUUGGCACCAUAUAGUCCAUGGUAAAUCCAAGAAUGGAAAAUUUCUGUGAUUGACUCCCUUCCCAUUUUGACGCUUAACGGUUAAUCCAGUCCUAUGGGGUUGAUGGUAUCGAAAGCCCUGAGAGGUCCAGCAGAACCAAUAGAGAUACCAGUCCCCUGCCCAGUUCCCAAUGUAAGUCAUUCACCAAAGGUGACUGAAGUGGUCUCCAUCACAUAAAACAGCAGUCAAAUUGAAACAAAUUACAUAACUGAAGACUUGGAUGUUUCGGCAGGCCUUCGGAAAUACAGUCAAUUAAUCAGCCCCAGAGGGUUUUUAAUAAUCUAUCCUGUUUUUAUUACGGUCUUACCAUUUAUGUAUUUUAAAUGUAUUUUUUUUAUCCUGUAUUGUUGUUUACAUUGAUAUACUGUAUUACUGUUUUAUCUUUUUAUAUUGUGAUUGUGUUGUGUUGCUUAUAUUUUGUUCUUAUGUUGUUUUGGGCCGCUACCCCAUGUAAGCCACCCCGAGUCCCCGCAGGGAGAUGGUGGCAGGGUAUAAAUAAAUAAUAAUAAUAAUAAUUAUUAUUAUUAUUAUUAUUAUUAUUAUUAUAUACAAACCAACCUCACAUAUAAGUCAAAUGAAGGUUCUGGGUCCAAAAUUAUGGAUUUCAGUAUAACCUGUGAAUAGCUUGAGGGUCAUUCCAUGAAGGGCAACAGCCAACCCACCUGCUAUUUAUCAUUAUUGUUACAUGAGGCAUUCAAAACAGCUAGAGGUGGUACAGUACUAUUAUGUUUUCCCAGGAAAGGACACUCUAUUAAAGAAGAUAUAGCAUUUAAACUGACCCAACAUUUUGGGUCAGUUUUUGGCUAAAAUUUCUAAACGUAUGCACAAGUAUAUACAAGAGAUAUCCAUCUCACCCAAGAAAGAACUCCUGAAGUUGCGAAGUUGCGAAGUUUAAAUUUUGUUGAAGGCAUUUCUUAAAAUGCAUGUGGCCACUCACCUUUUUGUUUCUACUGAACUUCUGUCCCAUACCUCCAUUCUCUUUGCACUCUGCUAUGCAGAGCUAUUCGCCCUGGAGCCCAUGAUCCUUCUCUAUUGACCCUGCUGUUCUGAUGUAUGUGUUCUCGCCAUUUUUCAAGUCAAAAGUGAUCUGGCAAUUUUGCUUCCGUGUAGAAGGGGAGAGGAAGUGGCUUUCGAUGACACAAGCACGGUCAAAAGCAAGAGACUACGUGACUCACAAGAAAAAAUGUUAUGUUCUCUGUGUCAUAUCACCAUCCUCCAGCUGGAUCAUUUCCUCGGGUGAUGCAAACAGGGUUGGUCUUACACCAGUCAGAAGCAAGUGAAGGCUGGUGUAAUGAACAGAAAUUUGAGGAAGCUUGUAUUUUAAAAUAUAGAUUGUAGAAGUGUGAACAGAGUAAAUGUGUGCCAGUAUACAUUUCCACCGUAUUGGGUGAAUCAAAGAAACAGGACAGAGCUCUCCAUCAAAUAGGGUUGGUACCAAAUCUGAGUGCCUUUGAUGGUCUUUCAAAGUGGUAGCAGUGGUAAGGAUUGGGAGGUAGGAUUUUAUUUAAAUUCAAUUCAUUUUAAUCUAGUUUUUUAAACUUAAUCCACACUGUAUUUUUAAUUAUUUUAAUGACAAAUUUUAAACUUCCAUUCUAUGUCUUACUGUUUUGUAUGCAUUUUAAUAUGUAUUUUAUGGAAAUAUGUUUUUAUAUGUGUAUUCUACAGAGCAUUUUUCAAUGAUUAUGUGUUUUGAUAAUGUUGUGACCCACCUCGAGUUGUGAGGAGAGGCAGGAAAGAAAUAAAAUUAUUAUUAUUGUG
Anolis carolinensis (green anole) is the source of this 9539-nucleotide long non-coding RNA. RefSeq lists it as uncharacterized. The record is from RefSeq and is a predicted model, not a curated record. NCBI's taxonomy places the organism in Eukaryota, Metazoa, Chordata, Lepidosauria, Squamata, Anolidae. The transcript has 2 exons.